This 253-nucleotide ribosomal RNA is filed under the name uncultured bacterium. Its description in RNAcentral is "partial 16S ribosomal RNA". It matches the Rfam family "Bacterial small subunit ribosomal RNA", at positions 524 to 776 of the family's 1533-position model. The record is from RNAcentral.
UACGUAGGGUGCAAGCGUUAUCCGGAAUUAUUGGGCGUAAAGGGCGCGUAGGCGGUCGGAUAAGUCUUGUGUGAAAUCUUCGGGCUCAACUCGAAGUCUGCACAGGAAACUAUCUGGCUUGAGUGUGGGAGAGGUGAGUGGAAUUCCUGGUGUAGCGGUGGAAUGCGCAGAUAUCAGGAGGAACACCGAUGGCGAAGGCAGGUCACUGGGCCGCAACUGACGCUGAGACGCGAAAGCGUGGGGAGCAAACAGG